AAAGAGGAUAAUAUGUCUGCGUGCUUUGCUAGUCAAGGCACGAGGAAAGUCCGGACACCAUAGGGUAUGAUGCUUCCUAACGGGAAGUCUUGGUAACGAGAAGCUAGCUCCACAGAAAGAAACCGCUUAGAUACGCAAGUUGAAUAAGUAAGGGUGAAAAGGUAGUGUAAGAGACUACCAGAUGCUUUGGUAACAAGGUAUGCUCGGAAUGCCUCAUCAGGUGCAAUGCCAAAUAGGGGAGCUUGAAGUUACCCGCUUCUAUAACUCUCGGGUAGGCAGCUUAAAUCGGCUUUUAUAGACAUUAUUGUGUGGCGACACCCGAUUUAGAUGAAUAGACAUAAUGCUACUUAUUAUGUAGUAAACAGAAUCCGGCUUAAUAUCUUCUUUUAGC
Molecule: RNase P RNA, 391 nt
Filed under: bacterium
Lineage: Bacteria
Description: RNase P RNA component class A
Rfam family: Bacterial RNase P class A
About the family: Ribonuclease P (RNase P) is a ubiquitous endoribonuclease, found in archaea, bacteria and eukarya as well as chloroplasts and mitochondria. Its best characterised activity is the generation of mature 5'-ends of tRNAs by cleaving the 5'-leader elements of precursor-tRNAs.
Source: RNAcentral